AUGCGCCAGAGCCACACACGCACAGCCCACCAGUUACGGCACCCAAAACACCAUUUUCUUAGGAACUGUAAUUGUCGGGGCCAGAAGCCCCAAACUCAACAACAGUGCCCUCUGUGGCUUUCACACUCAAUCCCCGCACACACACACACACACGCACGUACACACACACACACACACACGAGGCGUUCAGGAGAUGCCUGCCAAGCACCCAGGGGCGUCGUGUCUGCGUCCGGGCCGCACCACCCAGCGGGCACAGGUGUGUGCAGACGGGCUACGAGAAGGGCUGGCGCUGAGCAGGAGCUAGAAGCACAGUGUCCCCCCCACCCCCGGCCCCGGCCAGGCGGCCUCUGCUGCCAGCAGCCAGCUCACGGCAAACCUCACAGCGCCAAGCCAGGGGUGGGGGUGGGGGCGCAUCUGUGCUGCUCACCUGGGGGAAACAAACCAAACCACACACACAGGAGAGCCACCGAACACUCUGCUCUGUGGCCAGAGGGACCCCAGUGGGCCUUGUCUCCUGCUGCUUCCCCAGAGGCUGGGCUGCUGGGAUGCUGGCGGCCAAGACCACAGGGCCGCUCAGCGCGCCCAGGCCCGGCCCGCAUGGCCCCUGCUGCCCAGAUGAGCCCCUGCACCCUCCCCAUCGUCAGCCCCUGGGCUCCCCACGUCUCCCCUGUCGCUGCCUGGAGGUGGCCGCAGCAGCUCUCAGGAAUAGCCCCAGGGCUACCGGCACCCACACCCACGCUCAGAAAGCACUGCGGCAGCCCUGGCACAACCCAAGGCCCCGUGAGGAGACGCCAGCGAGGGCGCCGAGCCCCGCCACCCUCAGCCCUGAGCGUCUCCCUGCAGAGCAGGCCUCGCGCUCCACUGCUCUGGGGCGGCAGCUCCAAUGACAGUGCGCCCAGGGGAGAAGACGGCCCUCCCUGCCCGCGGCCUCUCUGUCACUUAGCAGUGACCACCAACGUCCGGCAGGGCCUCUGGCUUCCCACUGCGAUAUCACCGCAGCAUCAGUACCCCCUGUGCCGCGGUUUUCAACACAGGCCCAGGACCCGGCACUGCAAAGCUGGACAAAACCACAGGGAACCCUGCCUUCGUGUCUCCAGGCCACGAGUACCUAAGAGGAACGAAAGGAGUGCUGCUCUCCCGCCCUGGUCACUGAAUGGAGCUGCAGAGAGUGCUACCGACCCGCCAGCCACGGAGAACGUGAUCCACAACGCUUUGCUCUCACUCCGCCACGGGGAGACAUGGCAGGUGUCGAGGCCAAGACAGCGCCACAGUGGACAGCACAGUGCGGAACCCAGGUGUGUUCAGGGCAAGCCCCACUCCCCCUACCCCCAGAAACCCCCCUGCGGUGACGGCAGGUGCUCCCUGGGGCCAAGGCACCUGCUGGGGUCUGAAUGUGCAUUCCCCAAAUUCCAGGCUGGAACCUGA
This 1425-nucleotide long non-coding RNA is filed under the name Oryctolagus cuniculus (rabbit). Its description in RNAcentral is "lncRNA (ENSOCUG00000033992.1)". The record is from RNAcentral. Lineage: Eukaryota; Metazoa; Chordata; Mammalia; Lagomorpha; Leporidae.